This 281-nucleotide RNase P RNA is filed under the name Actinomycetes bacterium. RNAcentral's name for it is "partial RNase P RNA component class A". It matches the Rfam family "Bacterial RNase P class A", at positions 63 to 367 of the family's 367-position model. Rfam says of the family: Ribonuclease P (RNase P) is a ubiquitous endoribonuclease, found in archaea, bacteria and eukarya as well as chloroplasts and mitochondria. Its best characterised activity is the generation of mature 5'-ends of tRNAs by cleaving the 5'-leader elements of precursor-tRNAs. Lineage: Bacteria; Bacillati; Actinomycetota; Actinomycetes. The record is from RNAcentral.
AGAGCAGGAUGCCGUGUGAAAACGCGGAUAUUUUUCAGGUAACUGGAAAAUACUGGAAAGUGCCGCAGAAAAUAUACCGCCAAUGGCCUGCUUGCAGGAACAGGUAAGGGUGAAAUGGCGGGGUAAGAGCCCACCGCUGAACCGGUAACGAUUCAGGCAGGGUAAACCCCAUCCGGAGCAAGAUCAAACAGGAAUCAGCUGCUCGCUGUUAAUUCCGGGUAAGAUCGCAUUAGAUAGAUGGCUAUCCACGACAGAAUCCGGCUUAUCCUCCGUUUCAGUUA